AUUGAACGCUGGCGGAAUGCUUUACACAUGCAAGUCGAGCGGCAGCACGGGGGCAACCCUGGUGGCGAGCGGCGAACGGGUGAGUAAUACAUCGGAACAUGCCCAGUCGUGGGGGAUAACACUUCGAAAGAAGUGCUAAUACCGCAUACGUCCUGAGGGAGAAAGCGGGGGAUCGCAAGACCUCGCGCGAUUGGAGUGGUCGAUGUCAGAUUAGCUAGUUGGUGGGGUAAAGGCCUACCAAGGCAACGAUCUGUAGCUGGUCUGAGAGGAUGAUCAGCCACACUGGGACUGAGACACGGCCCAGACUCCUACGGGAGGCAGCAGUGGGGAAUUUUGGACAAUGGGGGCAACCCUGAUCCAGCCAUUCCGCGUGAGUGAAGAAGGCCUUCGGGUUGUAAAGCUCUUUCGGCAGGAACGAAACGGCGAGCUCUAACAUAGCUUGCUAAUGACGGUACCUGAAGAAGAAGCACCGGCUAACUACGUG
RNAcentral lists this ribosomal RNA (484 nucleotides) under uncultured bacterium. RNAcentral describes it as "partial 16S ribosomal RNA". It matches the Rfam family "Bacterial small subunit ribosomal RNA", at positions 30 to 507 of the family's 1533-position model. The record is from RNAcentral.